This 99-nucleotide ribosomal RNA is filed under the name Carassius auratus diploid. Lineage: Eukaryota; Metazoa; Chordata; Actinopteri; Cypriniformes; Cyprinidae. The record is from RNAcentral.
GCUAUGCCCGAUCUCGUCUGAUCUCGGAAGCUAAGCAGGUUUGGGCCUGGUUAGUACUUGGAUGAGAGACCACCUAGGAAUACCAGGUGCUUUAAGCUU